UACGAAGGGGGCUAGCGUUGUUCGGAAUUGCUGGGCGUAAAGCGUGCGCAGGCGGCUUCUCAAGUCAGGGGUGAAAGCCCAGAGCUCAACUCUGGAAUUGCCUUUGAGACUGAGUGGCUUGAGUACGGGAGAGGUGAGUGGAAUUCCCAGUGUAGAGGUGAAAUUCGUAGAUAUUGGGAAGAACACCGGUGGCGAAGGCGGCUCACUGGCCCGUAACUGACGCUCAUGCACGACAGCGUGGGGAUCAAACAGG
Molecule: ribosomal RNA, 253 nt
Filed under: uncultured bacterium
Lineage: Bacteria
Description: partial 16S ribosomal RNA
Rfam family: Bacterial small subunit ribosomal RNA
Source: RNAcentral